GGAGCAUUGCUGAGCAAAUUUCCUUUGGCAGAUACCACAAGUAACAAGAGCUUAAGUUGUUCAUUUGCCAAAGGAGAUUUGCUCACCAAUUCCA
RNAcentral lists this microRNA precursor (94 nucleotides) under Populus trichocarpa (black cottonwood). Its description in RNAcentral is "miR399c stem-loop (ptc-MIR399c)". Its record names the gene ptc-MIR399c. The record is from miRBase by way of RNAcentral. Lineage: Eukaryota; Viridiplantae; Streptophyta; Magnoliopsida; Malpighiales; Salicaceae.